GUUAUUAACUAUAUUUUCACAUUGUGAAUUAAGUUGUGAUUUAGUGUAAAAUGCGGUGGUUUAUUUUUUUAACAAUUCUUAAAAUUAUUUAUUAUUUGUUUGUGGGAAUUUGUGUAAUUAUUAAUGCCUCAGCUCUUAUAAAUUAUAUACCUUUGCCAGCAAUAUUUUUCGUCAGUGUUGUAUUUCAACUAGCUCUGUUAACAGCAUUAUUCAAGGCUAUAAAAUGUAUGAUGGACAUUUGGAUAAUAUUUACGUUUAUUGAAGUCAUAGGAGUCCUAGCAACUCUAGUGUAUGUUGAAUCGACGCCACAUUACUGGUUGUAUUUCCCACUGUAUUUAAUAUCACAAAUAUAUAGCAUAUGUAGGGUAUUCUCUUUUCGAGGAGAUCACUUAAACUCUAAUUCAGAAUAUGAAAUACUUUCGCCAUCAUAAUACUCAGUGUCUCUCUAUGCAAAAUAAUAUGAACAUAAUUAUCAAUAAAUUAUUUUACUUAAGCACUUUUAAACUUGUAAAAUUGUACUUGUUUUUUAAAUAAAAUUGUUGAAACUA
Zophobas morio is the source of this 548-nucleotide long non-coding RNA. RefSeq lists it as uncharacterized. NCBI's taxonomy places the organism in Eukaryota, Metazoa, Arthropoda, Insecta, Coleoptera, Tenebrionidae. The transcript has 4 exons. The record is from RefSeq and is a predicted model, not a curated record.